GUGAGGCAAUGCAAGAGGAAGAGAUUCACUAAAGACAGUGGGAAUAUAGGAACGUAGAGGAAAGCGGCACGUUCAUUUUCUCCUCUAGCAUUGAAGGUAGAAAUUUGCUUGUGUUUCCCUGAUGCCUCCUAUUCCUAUCGAUCUUAGGUACUCUUUCCUCUUUCUUUCAGCU
This 172-nucleotide microRNA precursor is filed under the name Zea mays. RNAcentral describes it as "MIR2118 microRNA precursor family". It matches the Rfam family "MIR2118 microRNA precursor family". Lineage: Eukaryota; Viridiplantae; Streptophyta; Magnoliopsida; Poales; Poaceae. The record is from Rfam by way of RNAcentral.